RNAcentral lists this ribosomal RNA (301 nucleotides) under uncultured bacterium. RNAcentral describes it as "partial 16S ribosomal RNA". It matches the Rfam family "Bacterial small subunit ribosomal RNA", at positions 509 to 807 of the family's 1533-position model. The record is from RNAcentral.
CAGCCGCCACGGUAAUACGUAGGGUGCAAGCGUUAAUCGGAAUUACUGGGCGUAAAGCGUGCGCAGGCGGUUUUGUAAGACAGAGGCGAAAUCCCCGGGCUCAACCUGGGAACUGCCUUUGUGACUGCAAGGCUGGAGUGCGGCAGAGGGGGAUGGAAUUCCGCGUGUAGCAGUGAAAUGCGUAGAUAUGCGGAGGAGCACCGAUGGCGAAGGCAAUCCCCUGGGCCUGCACUGACGCUCGUGCACGAAAGCGUGGGGAGCAAACAGGAUUAGAUACCCCUGUAGUCCCUGUCUCUUAUAC